CAGUCGCCGCGGGAAUACGUAGGGUGCGGGCGUUAAUCGGAAUUACUGGGCGUAAAGCGUGCGCAGGCGGUUUUGUAAGACAGGCGUGAAAUCCCCGGGCUCAACCUGGGAAUGGCGCUUGUGACUGCAAAGCUAGAGUGCGGCAGAGGGGGAUGGAAUUCCGCGUGUAGCAGUGAAAUGCGUAGAUAUGCGGAGGAACACCGAUGGCGAAGGCAAUCCCCUGGGCCUGCACUGACGCUCAUGCACGAAAGCGUGGGGAGCAAACAGGAUUAGAUACCCCGGUAGUCCCUGUCUCUUAUAA
Molecule: ribosomal RNA, 301 nt
Filed under: uncultured bacterium
Lineage: Bacteria
Description: partial 16S ribosomal RNA
Rfam family: Bacterial small subunit ribosomal RNA
Source: RNAcentral